Molecule: transfer RNA, 67 nt
Filed under: Pseudanthias squamipinnis (sea goldie)
Lineage: Eukaryota; Metazoa; Chordata; Actinopteri; Perciformes; Anthiadidae
Also listed under: 1 other name
Description: tRNA-Cys
Source: RNAcentral
AGCCCUGAGGUGUUUUACAUAUCAGAUUGCAAAUCUGAAGAAGAAGACUAGCCAUCUUCCGGGGCUU